CCUACGGGGGGCUGCAGUGGGGAAUAUUGGACAAUGGGGGGAACCCUGAUCCAGCCAUGCCGCGUGUGUGAAGAAGGCCCUCGGGUUGUAAAGCACUUUCAGUGAGGAAGAACGCCUGGUGGUUAAUACCCAUCAGGAAAGACAUCACUCACAGAAGAAGCACCGGCUAACUCCGUGCCAGCAGCCGCGGUAAUACGGAGGGUGCGAGCGUUAAUCGGAAUUACUGGGCGUAAAGCGCGCGUAGGUGGCUUGAUAAGCCGGUUGUGAAAGCCCCGGGCUCAACCUGGGAACGGCAUCCGGAACUGUCAAGCUAGAGUGCAGGAGGGGAAGGUAGAAUUCCCGGUGUAGCGGUGAAAUGCGUAGAGAUCGGGAGGAAUACCAGUGGCGAAGGCGGCCUUCUGGACUGACACUGACACUGAGGUGCGAAAGCGUGGGUAGCAAACAGGAUUAGAUACCCCAGUAGUC
This 465-nucleotide ribosomal RNA is filed under the name Vreelandella stevensii. RNAcentral's name for it is "partial 16S ribosomal RNA". It matches the Rfam family "Bacterial small subunit ribosomal RNA", at positions 338 to 795 of the family's 1533-position model. The record is from RNAcentral. Lineage: Bacteria; Pseudomonadati; Pseudomonadota; Gammaproteobacteria; Oceanospirillales; Halomonadaceae.